RNAcentral lists this long non-coding RNA (630 nucleotides) under Homo sapiens (human). RNAcentral's name for it is "non-protein coding DCST1-AS1:22". Lineage: Eukaryota; Metazoa; Chordata; Mammalia; Primates; Hominidae. The record is from RNAcentral.
ACGCCCGCGCUGCUCAGCGCUACCGCUUCCCCGCAACUGUGCGGAGUGGGAGCCGGUGCCCGGUCCGACCGGCUUGGGCGGCGCGCCUUCACCCGGCGCCAGGUCCGGACCCCUCCCUAGUAGCUUCGCGGCCUCCCUGCCUCCUGUGCGCGGCCUGGCUCGGAGAGGUCGGGCGGGCAGGCUUUCCCGACUGCAGGCGAGGCAGUGCGCGGCUCACCCCAGUCCCCGACCCACGUGAAGCGUACAGGGCAUUUUAUUAACCGGGAAGGACGGUGCGGAAGAGCGAGCAGGACGCCUCUUCACCCCGCGUAGGCAGUGUCGUCGUUGCUGUCACUAAAGGCGGAGGAAGAGAGCUCUUCGCGGGGCGUGCAGACCGGGCACCGCUGCCGCAUGUCGUCCCAGCACGACCAGCAGUACACGGCCUCGCAGUCCAGCGUCCGGCACACGUAGGACUCGGGCGUCUCGGGUGCCUGGCACACCACGCAGCGCCGGCACAGCCAGCGGCGCAGGAGCGGGCAGCCGCGGUGCAGGAUAUCCGCCAGCGGGUGGCGCUGUUGGGAGGUGAGAAAACUGAUGCUUGGAGAUGUGAUCACUGCCCAGGGUCACCCAAUGAUAACAUGCAUGCAUAUG